GGGCUGCUGCCUCAGAUAGAGUGGUCAGGGAAGACCUUUCUUUCCAAGAUGAUGAUAUUUGAGCUGAGACCUGAGUGAUGAGAAAAAGCCAACCUGGGAAGAUUUGGAAGACAGAAGAUUCCUUACAGAAGGAAUGGCAUGUGCAAAGGCCAUGGGGCAGAAGUGAGUUUGGUUUGGUCAAAGAUUAGACACAAGGUCAUGAUGCCAUGGUACCUUAGCAAACAAGUGGAAGGAUGGGAAAAGAUGAGGCCAGACAUGUAGGAGGGGCCAGAUCAUCUGGGUCUUAUGGCCAUUUUAUGGAAUUGGGUGUGACACGGGGGUGACAUCAGAGAGUAUCAAGCAGAACACUAAUAUCACCUAAUUUAUGUUUUUAAAACGUGGCUGGAUGUGGUGGCUCAUGCCUGUAAUUCCAGUGCUUUGGGGGGGCAUGAGGCAGGAGGAUCACUUGAGGCCAGGAGUUCAAGACCAGCCUGGGCAACAUAGUGAGAUCCCAUCUCUACAAACAAUUUAAAAAUUAGCUGGGUGUGGUGGUGCGCACCUGUAGCCUCAGCUACUUGGGAGGUGGAGGCGGGAGGAUCACUUGAUCCUGGGAGUCUGAGGCUGUGGUGAACUAUGGACACACCAUUGUAUCCCAGCCUGGGUGACAGAGUGAAACCCUGUCUCAGGAAAACAAACCAAAAGAAAAACAGCAACUCAUGCUGGUUAUUUUAUGGUUAAGAGCAAGAAUCCUUUUCUGAUGCAUUUCUUGGCACAAGGGAGGAGUUCAGUUUUAACAACUUAUAUUCUUUCUCACUGUAGAGGAAUAUUGACAUAAAUUGCACAUAAAUUAAGCAUGAUCAACUAACAAGUAUUUGUUGAUUUAUUGGGCAUGAAAAAGACCUUAGAGAGGUUCUAUUCUAGUUCUGUCUUCUCCACAGUCUGGAAAGACAGACUUAACAGAAUUUAUAAUCUCAGGUUUUGCCUGGCAUGGUGGCUCACGCCUGUAAUUCCAGCACUUUGGGAGGCUGAGGCAGGUGGAUCACCUGAGGUCAGGAGUUCGAGACCAGCCUGGCUAACAUGGCGAAACCCUGUUUUUACUAAAAAUACAAAAAAUUAGCCAGGCGUGGUGGUACAUGCCUGUAAUCCCAGCUACUUGGGAGGCUGAGGCAGGAGAAUUGCUUGAACCCAGGAGGCAGAGGUUGCAGUGAGCCGAGAUCGUGCCGUCGCACUCCAGCCUGGGCAACAAGAGUGAAACUCCGUCUCAAAAAAAAAAAAAAAAAAAAAGAAAAAAAAAACCUCAGGAUUUUACGGACUUUUAAAGUCAUUUAGACCAAUUAUCCAUUAGAUUCAUGGCUCAUCUCUCUCCUCACUCCCAUUUUCCCGGAGUCUUAUAGGUAGUUAGUGGGGGAGCUGGAGUUAGAAUCCAGUUAUCACUACUCCUACUUAAUUCUACCCUGACUUCUCUAAUCACAGAAAACAGUGCCCUUGCCUUCUGAGCACUUGCUUUUUUACUGGGGAAGCGAGAUACACCUAUACCAAUUAAAGUCUAAGAUAUUUAUCCUUUCUAUAAGACAAACCAAAAGCGAGAUGUCAUGAUGAGAGGAAACAUUUCCGAGUAGAGAGGAAGAGUAAAUAUUCCAACCCUGUAUUUCACCUGUCCUUUGGCAUUAUACCACUCUGUCACCUUUGCCACUAACUUUUAGUACCCUAUGGGUCCACUGCUUUGCCUUUAAAUCUGCUAGUCAGAUGCCCCUUGGCAUGACUGAGAUAUGAAGAAAAUGAAAAGGGAAAGAAGUAAACACAGCAUGCAAUGACCGUAAAAGUAGUCUGCCUUACGUAGUUUUCUCAUGUCAUUAUAUCUAGCUAACUCCUAGGGAAUAUUGGUAAUUAUACAUUUGUUCUGCUGGGCUGGUCUGAUCUACCUUUGAGGGUAUGUUUCUUAGAUGGGCUCCUCACUUACUAAAUGACUAACACUUUCCAGGGAUGGUGACAUCUUAUAACUCAUUAAGAGAACUGGUCAUCUAGAUAUAUACCUUGAUGACACAGGUGAGGGUCAAGAGAACCAUUUAUAUCAAGGGUUCCUCUUUUUUUUUUUUUUCAUUAUCCUAAGUAAACACAAGAAGGAAUUCUUCUUAAUAUAGUUCUAGUUUCUGGUCUGUGGGCUAUGGCUGUUCUCCAGAUGAAUGAUCUCACCUAUCAGGUAGGUGAGUCCCUGGUUCCUCCUAAUAGCGAGUAGCUUGGUCCCUUUCUGGGAUAAUAAUGUAGUCAUACAGUCCCGUGGAUGACUGAUAACAUCAAGAGGGUGAAAAUUAUAUACAUUCAAAUGGGCUUUUAUCCUAAUCUAAUAAAAUAUUGCUAAAUAAAUGGCGUAGGCAAUGUCCUUGAGAAGUCUCAACAGUCUUGAAUGAAUUAGCUUGAAAGACUUCUUUUGGAUCUGUUCAGAAUAGAAUUGCGGAAGCGAGUACGGAACUGUUGGAUGAGCCAUCAGUAAGUUAUGUUAGGAACAUAUUUGUGUUUAGCAGGUGUGUGAUCCGUGGUAGACAAGGAGCCUCUGGACACUGAUGGUAUUUUAUCUCAGACUUAGGCUUUUCAAAGAGGUAGGAAUCAGAUUGUGAAUACUUAGCCACAUUUCCCAGAAGUUGAAACGGAAAGAGAAGCAGACUCAUUGCCUGUUGAAGCUUGUCUGUGUGGGCUGAGCUCACUCAGUUGGAUACUUUCGGCCAGUUAUUUUAAACUAAAUUUAGGUUUUGAUGAAGUUCUGAAAAAUUAUCAAAUUUCUGUCUAGUUUCAGCUCCAGCGCAUGUUUACCAGCAGUAUACUUUACUUUUCAUAGCUCCCCCCAGAAUUGAAUGUGAAAAUGUAGGUUAGUUGCCCACAUUUCUUGAGACGGAAUUUUUUGGAGAAGAAAUUUUUUAUUCCAUCCAUCCAUCCAAUAAACGUGCAAAAUUAUCAGAAAUAGAAAUGGAUGAUAUAUGGCCCAAAAUUCAAAAGGUACAAAGGAGCAUUCAGUGAAAUGAAGUCUUCUUGCCACCCCAAUACCUGAGUCACACAGUUUCUUAGUCUUUUUUUUUUUUUUUUGAGACGGAGUCUCACUCUGUUGCCCAGGCUGGAGUGCAGUGGCGCGAUCUUGGCUCACUGCAAGCUCCACCUCUCGGGUUCACGCCGUUCUCCUGUCUCAGCCUCCAGAGUAGUUGGGACUACAGGCGCCUGCCGCCACGCCCAGCUAAUUUUUUGUAUUUUUAGUAGAGACGGCGUUUCACCAUGUGUUAGCCAGGCUGGUCUCGAUUUCCUGACCUCGUGAUCUGCCCGCCUCAGCCUCCCAAAGUGCUGGGAUUACAGGCGUGAGCCACCGCGCCCGGCCAGCUUCUUACUCUUAUAAACAUUUAUUAAGGGCAUCUCUGGAUUAGUCCAAGUGCUAGAUGCCGUUUAUUUUCUGACAGUGCUUUGACAUACUUGAAAUUUCCAAGCAUAAUUUUACUUAAAAGUAAAAAAAGAAAAUACCUGGCCAGAUGCAGUGGUUCACGCCUGUAAUCCCAGCACUUUGGGAGGCUGAGGCAGGAGGAUCACUUGAGCCCCAGAGUUGGAGACCAGCCUGGGCAACAUAGUGAGACCUUAUCUCUGCAAAUAAUAAUAAUAAAAAUAACCAGGGGUGUGGUGGUGCAUGCCUGUGGUCCCAGCUACUCAGGAGGCUGAGGUGGGAGGAUCGCUUGAGCCCAGGAGGUCAAGGUUUCUGUGAGCUAUGAUCGCACCACUGAACUCCAGCCUGGGCAACAGAGCCAGAGCACUUCUCAAAUAAAAAAGGACCAAAGAAAAAUACCUAACCUAACUUAUACUGCUCAUUAGGAUGGCACAGUGUGAUAAUCUAAUGUAAGCCCUGUGGGGGCCGGAAUUUUAAUCUGUUAUUCACUGCUGUAUUCCUUAUGUUUCGUGCAAUGUCUGCAGAUAUUCAUUGAGUACAUGAAUAUAAGGAUUAAAAAUAAGAGCUGAGUUUGUUUUUAUACCCUUAAUACAUCUUUUGACUUUUACUAUUGGAAUUUCCUAUCUAUAGUUAAGAUGUUAAAGAAAAGUAAUUUUCUACCUUUUUCUCACAAAUCUCCGAGUAAGGAGAUUUCACAGCUUUUCUGGGCUAGUAAUUGAUUUUUGGCAUAUCUCAAACUUUUACUAUUAGGAAGAUCAGUGUAUCUAAAGUAAGUCUUGCAAUUUGAAUUCAAAUCCCUUAGUUUUUUGUUUUUUGUUUUUAUAUUUUUGAGAUAGGGUUUCGCUUUGUCACCUAAGGCUGGAGUGCAGUGAUGUGAUCAUGGCUCUCUGCAGCCUCCACCUCCUAGGUUCAAGUCAUCCUUCUACUUCAGCCUCCUGAGUACCUGGGACUACAGGUGCAUGCCACCAUGCCCAGCUAAUUUUAAAAAAUUUUAUUUUUAGUAGAGAUGGGGGUCUUGCUAUGUUGCUAGGCUGGUCUUGAACUCCUGGGCUCAAAUGAUCCUCCCUCUUUGGCUUCCCGAAGUGUUGGGAUUACGGGUGUGAGCCAUCACGCCUGGCCAACAUCAGUUUUACUUUACCAUAACAUUGCUGUUAUUUUUUGAAUCUUUUUUAUAAUUUUAUUUCUAGUUUUUCACUUUACAAAUUUUCUGUGAUAACCAUUGUUGUGCACAAGUCUUUGAUGUACUUCUGAUUUUUUGCUCCGGAUAUAUUGUUGAAAGGGAAAUUACCGUGCCAAAGGGAACACAUGCUUGUACGGCACCUAAUAUGUAUAUUGCCACAUUGCUUUCCAGAAAGGCUGCACUAGAAUUAACCUCCUGAGCAGUGUAUGAGCAGGCUUGGCUCACUGCAAGCCACACUGGCUCUCUUUAUCUUAUCUGUCUCCCCAUCUGCCUUUGUUGGCUUGGGGGUGUAGGGCUUUUAAGUCUCUACUACACCUCUAAACCUAGUCCCAUAGAUAUAGUACAAGUCAGGAGAAGGUUAUAGCAGCUGUGUAAUCCAUCUUUCCCUGUACCAAACCUGGAAGAGGAAUGACAAGAAUUCAAGUGUAAAUCUAACCUUUUUUUGAGGCAGAGUCUUGCUCUGUCACCCAGGCUGGAGUGCAAUGGUGCGAUCUCGGCUCACUGCAACCUCCGCCUCCUGGGUUCAAGCGAUUCUCUUGCCUCAGCUUCCCUAGUAGCUGGGAUUACAGGUGCCCAUAGCCACGCCUGGCUAAUUUUUGUAUUUUUAGUAGAGAUGGGUUUCACCAUGUUGGCCAGGCUGGUCUUGAACUCCUGACCUCAAGUAAUCCACCCCCCGCCCCCAGCCUCUCAGAGUGGUGGUAUUACAGGCAUGAGCCACCGCACCCGGCCAAGUCUCACCUUUUACUUGCUUUUUAUAAAUCAUCAUUCUCUCCUGAUCUUUGAUAAAGGGACAAAAACCCAAACUGGAGAAAUUGCUGAAGGGAAGAAGAAAGGUUAAUGAGAAACAGACUCUUGAUCACCCAAACCAUUGAUUUUUUUUUUUUUUUUUUUUGAGAUGGAGUCUCGCUCUGUUGUCCAGGCUGGAGUACAAUGGCGUGAUCUUGGCUCACUGCAACCUCUGCCUCUCCGGUUCAAGUGAUUCCCCUGCCUCAGCCUCCUCAGUAGCUAGGAUUACAGGCACGUGCCACCACACCUGGCUAAUUUUUGUAUUUUUAGUAGAGACGGGGUUUCACCGUGUUAGUCAGGCUGCUCUCCAACUCCUGACUUUGUGAUCCACCUGCCUCGACCUCCCAAAGUGCUGGGAUUACAGGAGUGAGCCAUUGCACCUUGCCUCUCCACUGACUUUUUUUUUUUUUGAGACGGAGUCUCACUCUGUCACCCAGGCUGGAGUGCAGUGGCGCAGUCUCUGCUCACUGCAACCUCUGCCUCCUGGGUUCAAGAGAUUCUCCUGCCUCAGCCUCCCAGGUAGCUGGGACUACGGGCGCCCACCACCACACCCGGCUAAUUUUUUUGUAUUUUUAGUAGAGACGGGGUUUCACCAUGCUGGCCAGGGUGGUCUUGAACUCCUACCUCGUGAUCCACUCGCCUCGGCCUCCCAGAGUGCUGGGAUUAUAGGCGUGAGCCACUGCACCCAGCCUACCAUUGAUUUUUAAAUAACUAUUUUUUGGUAAACCAGCGUGAGAAUUUCAGAGAUUAAUAAAAGUUGUAAAUUGCUCCUCCCUCGUUUUAAUGGUGAAAAGAUAGUCAAGGAGAUUGUGAAGGAGAAAGUUAUAUGAAUAAAUAUGGUAAUGCAGCAGUCCUAUCAUGUUUAAAUUUGCUGUGUGCAUUGUACUUUAUGGGUUAAGAGAUUUUCAAGGGUAAUUGGGCCAUAUAGGAUAUUGUGCUUAGUAUGUUGUGGGGUUAUGACUGUGGAAUUAUCUGUGUUUUGGACAUUUGGUGGUAACUGCUUUUCUUUUAUCUCCAAUAGAAGCCCUCCUAUACAGUAAGUUUUGGUUAUGAUGUGCUUAGUUAAUUGAGGGGAAAAACUGAUAAAGCAGGAAAAUCAGAAAUAUAUAUUCAUGCAUUAAUCUUUUUUUGGUUUUUCUUUUUUAUGUAGACGGAGUCUUGCUCUGUCGCCCAGGCUGGAAGUGCAGUGGCAUGAUCUCGGCUCACUGCAACCUCUGCCUCCUGAGUAGCUGGGACUAUAGGCACAUGCCACCAUGCCCGGCCAAUUUUUGUAUUUUUUGUAGAGAUGGGGUUUCGCCAUGUUGGCCAGGAUGGUCUCGAAUUCCUGAGCUCAGGCAGUUCGCCUGCUUCGGUCUCCUAAAGUGCUAGGCUUACAGGCAUGAGCCACCAUGCCUGGCUCAUGCAUUACUCUUUUAAAAAGUAUGUAUUGUGGAAAAUUUCAAACAUAAAUGAAAGUAGAGGGAAUAAUAUAAUGAACCCCUAUGUGCCUGUCGCCUAGUUUAAACAGUUGUCAUCUUGUGACCAAUCUUGCAUUUAUACCUUUCCCACUUCCCCGCUUUUUUCCUGGAUUUUGAAGCAUAUCCCAGAAUCCUUUCAUUUCAUCGGUAGAUAUUUUGGCAUGUAUCUCUAAAUAGAUGAAGAUUCUUUAAACAAACAAACAAAACCAAACCCCAGGGCUGGGUAUGGUGGUUCAUGCCUGCCAUCCCAGCACUUUGGGAGGUCUAGGUAGGUGGAUCGCUUGAGGCUAGCUAGUUCAAAACCAGCCUGAGCAGCACGGUAGUAGUGAGGCCCCAUCUCUACCAAAAAAUAAAAAUAAGUGAGCGGUGGAUGGUGGUAAGUGGCUGUAGUUCUAGCUACUUGGGAGGUUGAGCUGGGAGGAUUGCUUGAGCCCAGGAGUUCCAGAUUACAGUGCAGUAAACUAUGGUUGCGCCACUGCAUUCCAGCCUGUGUGACAGAGACCCUGUCUCUAAAAAGGAAAGAAAGAAAAGAGAGAGAAAAGAAAGAAAGAAAGAUUGAUUAGCACAUAGGUUAAUAUUUUGUUAACCUGUUGAUGCAGGGCCAAGGCUUUUUCUUUGUGUGCCCUAGUUGGAGUUCCUUAAUUUUGUUUCCAUUAAAUACACCCAUAAUUCAUUAUCUAUAAUUUCCAGUUUUGUUUGCUUUUUAAAGCAGAACAUGAAUUUAAUGGCAUUUGUGAAGCAAUAUUAGUACAGCAUCCCUCUUGAUUUUUAUGACUCCUUCCCAGUCUUUUAUACUCAUCUCAUUCACGUCUAAUUUACUAUGUCUUUUUAAGCAUUUGAUGAAGUUUUCAUAGAAACGUAUCUCCUUAAUUUUUCAUCAGUUUACAUUCUAUUUAAUUAAAUUACAUAACUGUAAUAAUGAGCAACUGGUAUAAAUAGGUUUGGGAAAAAAACAGUUAAUUAUUGGUAAGAAUAUAACUUAAUAACGGGAGGCUGGGCCCGGCGCGGUGGCUCAUGCCUGUAAUUGCAGCACUUUGGGAGGCCCAGGCAGGCGGAUCACCUGAGGUCAGGAGUUCCAGACCAGCCUGGCCAACCUGGUGAAACCCUGUCUCUACUAAAAAUACAAAAAUUAGCUGGGUGUGUUGGUGCAUGCCUGUAAUCCUAGCUACUCGAGAGGUCUGAGGCAGGAGAAUUGCUUGAACCUGGGAGGCAGAGGUUGCAGUGAGCCAAGAUCCUGCCACUGUACUGCAGCCUGGGCCACAGAGCGAGACUCCAUCUCAAACAAACCAACCACAAAAAAACCAAAAAACUUAAUAAUGGGAGCAGCAGAAGCUUAUAAGAGUAAGAGACAGCUGUUAUUAGUUGGGGCCAGUUUGCAUGUUGGGGGCAUUGGUUGCUUUACUGAGACAAGGAGAAGCAUUGAUUAUUUUGGCAGGUUGGUUGAGUGAAGGUGGGCUAAGAGAGCUUCUGCGUUAAUUUAAAAUGAUAAAGAAGUCAAAGCUGUUAGAAAUUUGAGGACAAGUUAUUUUAUAGAAUCUUUUAUUAUUUAUAGUGUGUACUUCGAGGUGGUAUUUUUGUCCACUUAUGUUAGAAUUUGUGUGAACUGAGCUGAAUUUGGUAAUGAGUCAGUGGUAUUAAAAACUUGGUGAAGAAACUGGCCAAACUCUUUAGUUUAAGAGGUUUAUAUCUGUUCACUGCUAGUGUAGUGUUCUGUGGAACAAGUUGACAUUUUCUUGUAGUAAGUUGUUUUCUGUUUCUGGCGGAAGCAAUCUUGGUUCAUAUGCUGCAAGAAACAGAACUGUUUUUAUUGUGGAAGACAGGAGCAGAGCUGUGUGUUUCUUAUUAGGAUGAGUUGGACACCUGCAGGAUUUCUUCUCUCUUUCUGCUUCUUGCCUCCUGUUGUCUUUUCCUUCUGUUAGAAUGUUCUAAUAUUGCAUAAGCAGCAUUCCGACAAUAGUUGAAUUUUUUUGGUACUUCAUUUUUUUAAACUCUCAAAAUAAUGUUUUUAGUGAUUGUAUGUUCUUGGCUUACUUUCCAUUUCUACAUCAACAGGGAUAUUGUUAUUCUAGUCAAAUGGGGUAGUUGUAUUCUGGCAAUGAUCUUUGGGUCCAAGUCAGCUGCAGAAACAACACUUUCAUAUAUUAUACCUAAAUAUCUUACAUGUGUAUGGUAAUUCUGGGAGGUAAUUAAAUGUUGGGAUGGUACUUUAGGAUCUCUUUAAAGGAUUUCACAGUUCUCAGGAAUAAAAUAACUUGUUUGAAGCAUGUUACUCAUUGGCCUUUGACCAUGCAAAAGGGUAGCCAGUGAUUUUAGCCUACUGCCUCUUCCGAUCUCAUUUUCCUCCUUUCUUUUGAGGCAGCAGCUGCAUCCAGUGCCCUGCUCUAAUUGAGCUCUUAGUAAAAGGGGUAUUGUUAUACCAAGUCACAACCUCGUAUAGCAGUGAGGUUACAUCAAUGGUUGUUAGAUUUUUAGGCCACGCAUCCAUUUUGGAGUCACAUUAAAUUUUGAAAACCAAAAUUUAGUUGCAUUACCUAAAUUUCUCUUCCUUUUCUUAUCCUGAUACCAGGAUAAGAAUAGGUUUUCUGUUUUUCCAGCUCUUUGUGGAACCUUUUUGGCCCAUCAGAGUUGCUUGCGACAAUCUGUAGUUAAAGAACUGAGACUGGUGCGGGAAUCGGGAUGUUUCUGGUUCCAGUUUUUACUAGCCAGCAGUUUGACUUUGGGCAAAUUACUUAACCUCAGGGGGCUUCCAGUUUCUCUUUAAUUUAUAAUUUUUUCAACUGCUUUAUUGAGGUACAUUUCACAGACCAUACAGUUCACCCAAUUUUUUUUAAGUGUAUUCAUGGAGCUGUGCGACCAUCACUAUAAUACAUUUUAGAACAUUUUCAUUAUCCUUAAAAGAAGCAUGGUACCCAUUAGCAGUCACUGCUUAUUUCUUCAACCUCUCUUCUCAGCCCUAAGCAACCACAAAUUAAUUUUUAUCGAUUUACGUCAUCUGGACACUUCAUAUAAAUAGAAUUAUGCAGUGGGUGUCCUGUUGUAUUUUACUUCUUUCACUUGGUGUAAUGCCUUCAAGGUUCAUGCAUGUUCUUACAUAUGUUGGAAUCUCAUUAUUUUUUUAUGGCUGAAUAAUAUUAUGUUGUAUGGAUACGCCACAUUUUUAAAAUCAAUUCAUGAAUUGGUGGGCAUUGUUUCUACUUAUUGGCGAUUAUGAAUAAUAUGGUCUUGAACAUUUGUGUACAAAUUUCUGUGUGAUCAUGUUUUCAUUUUUUUCUUGGGCAUAUACCUAGGAGUGGAAUCGCUUGGUCAUGUGGUGACUCCUUGUUUAAGGUUUUGAGCAACUUCCAAACUGUUUUCCACAGUAGCUGCCCCAUUUUAUAUUCUUACCUGCAAUGUAUGAGGGUUUCUGUUCUGUCUACAUCCAAAACUUAUUUUCUUUUUUUUGAUUUUAGCCAUCCUAGUGGAUGUGAAGAAGUAUUGCAUUGUGGUUUUGAUCUACAUUUCCCUAAUGAACAAUGGUAGUGAGCAUCAUUUCAUGUGCCAGUUGAUCAUUUGUAUAUUUCCUUUGGAGAAAUGUCUAUUAACAUCCUUUGCCCAUUUUUGAAUUGGAUUAUUUGUCUUUUUAUUGCUGAGUUGUAAGAGUUCUUUAUGUUUGGGAUACAAGUCCCUUAUCGGAUACAUGAUUUACAAAUAUUUUCUGCCAUUCUGUGGGUUGUCUUUUCAGUUUCUUGGUAGUGUUGUUUGCAGCACAAGUGUCUUUAAUUUUGAUUCUCUAGUUUCUUAAUUUAUAUAGUUGUUUAAACUCUGAAACUAUAUGUUUUAUUGAGAUUAUUUUCCUCUGUGCUCAUUCUGUACUUUCUCCCAUGUUCAUAUAGCUCUCUCUUUCCCGGGACGUUUUCUAGCCUCAAAGACUUUAUUUUUUUGAUUAAUUUAUUUAUUUUGAGACGGAGUCUCGCUCUGUCGCCCACGCUGGAGUGCAGUGGCGCCAUCUCGGCUCACUGCAAGCUCCGCCUCCCAGGUUCAUGCCAUUCUCCUGCCUCAGCCUCCUGAGUAGCUGGGACUACAGGUACCUGCCAUCACGCCCGGCUAAUCUUUUGUAAUUUUUAGUAGAGACGGGGUUUCACCGUGUUAGCCAGGAUGGUCUUGAUCUCCUGACCUUGUGAUCCGCCUGCCUCGGCCUUCCAAAGUGCUGUGAUUACAGGUGUGAGCCACUGCGCCCGGCCUCUAGCCUCAAAGACUUUAAAAACAUCUGUCUAUGUAUUUGCCUCUCUAAUACAUGUGUCUUACAAAAUAAUCAAACCUUACAAAAUGUAUAACAAAGAAAGUGAAAGUUCCUCAUCUCUCCAGAGAAAACAUUAACUAUUUAUAACCAGAUUUUUUCCCCAUUCACAUGGUAAAAAUUUUUUUUAAUUAAAAAAGGGAACAUACCACAAUCUAGUUUGCCACUUGUUUUUUCAUUUAAUAGUAUAUCUCCAACAUUAUUCCAUGUCAGUACACUUUGUCCUUGUCUCAAUCAUUUUAAUGGCUGCAGAGUAUUCUAUUUUAUGGAUAUACUAUACUUUACAUAGUAGCCUAUUGAUAGAUUUUAGGGUUGUUUCUAGAUAUUGUUUUAUUUUUUUGAGACAGAGUUUCUCUGUCACCCAUGCUGGAGUGCAAUGGCAUGAUCUUGGCUCACUGCAACUUCUGCCUCCCAGAUUCGAGUGAUUCUCCCACCUCAGCCUCCCAAGUAGCUGGGAUUACAGGUGCGCGCCACCACACCCAGCUAAUUUUUGUAUUUUUAGUAGAGACGGGGUUUCACCAUGUUGGCUUGGCUGGUCACGAACUCCUGGCCUUGAGUGAUCCCCCUGCCUCAGCCUCCCAAAGUGCUGGGAUUACAGGUGUGAGUCAGCGUGCCCAGCCCAGAUUUUAUUGUUUUAAUUACAAAUUUUACGUAAGUUGUUUCUGCACAUUUAUAUUUGCACACUUGUGCUAGUGGUUUUUUUUUCUAUUCCAUUUAUUUGCUAUUGCAGUAUUUACUAUUCAAAACACGUAGACUUAUUUUAAAAAAUAAAAGAAUUUUAUUUAGUGUGACCUAGAGUCAACGUCUCAAAAGUUAUGUAUUCUUUUCCAUCAUGAUAUAUACAAUGUUCUGAUCUUCUUUUAAAGCCAGAGUCUUCAUUUUCUUGGUAAUUGUAUAGAAUAAUUUACUAGAAGUGGAAUGCUUGGAUCAAAGUAUGAGUGCUUAAAAUCAUGUAAGAUGUUGCCACAUCACCCUCCAAGUAAGGCCAUGCCAAUUCACUCAGCUUGAGAGUGUAUGACAGUGAUUUUUCUGUUCUUUUUAACCCUGGCAAAUAGCCUUUUUAGGGAAUUAAUCUGACAGGUGAAAAAAUGUCAUUUUAUUAUUUGUAGUUACUUAUUAGUACAUUCGAGCAUCAUUUAAUUUGUCUGUUGGUUGUCUUUCUGCUUUGUCUACUUUUCUGUUGGGCUUUUGGCUUUUUCUUAUUCAUCAGUUGUCAUAGCUUUAUUAUUAUUAUUAAUGUUUUAAAAAAAUUGAGUUGGAGUCUCACUCUGUCACCCAGGCUGGAGUACAGUGGUGCAAUCUUGGCUCUCUGAAACCUCUGCCUCCCAAAUUCAAAUGGUUCUCAUGUCUCAGCCUCCCAAAAUGCUGGGAUUACAGGCAUGAGCUGCUGUGCCUGGCCUGUAAUAGCUUUUUAAUAUUAGGGAAAUUAGUUACCUUAUAAAAUAUAUUACUGAUAUUUUUCUUUGUCUUUUGACUUUGUGUGUGUGUCUAAUAUAAAAUGAAAAUGCUUUUAUUUUUAUAGUCAGAUUUUUC
Molecule: long non-coding RNA, 12629 nt
Filed under: Homo sapiens (human)
Lineage: Eukaryota; Metazoa; Chordata; Mammalia; Primates; Hominidae
Description: HSALNT0365086
Source: RNAcentral